GUGUGUUACAUAUUAUAUUAUAUACAUACACGCGCACACAUGCAGUAUAUAUCGAGCGCCUUCGGACGUACGAGAGAAGCAGAUCCCAGAAGCCAGCACUGUUGCCAAAUCUUCAGAUAUUUCUGGACAAGUAUACAGUUUUCAGAUGAUUCUAGAAAAUCAAUUUCCUCAUAGAAAUCAAUACUAAGCAUCCAAAUGAAAUAAAAUAUGUUGAUAAGGGAAAUCUAAGUUUCCUUUAGCAUUCCUUGUCUAACUGUUGAAAAUUGCAAAUGAACAUUACGAAAUGAAAAACAGAAAAGCCGAAAUUCACACGAGGAAGUUGUAAAGAAAAGGGAGUAAAUCUUGCUCUCCGUGCCACGUGCUUCUGUUUUUCCUAGUGUUAGGAAAUGCUUUUAGCGUAAAUAAUAUAUGUGUUCAGACAAUUGAAGUAAUUAUCAUAAAACAACAAGGAAACUAUUGUUCUGCAUAAGUUUACUGUUAGGAAAUAAGAAAAACGACGAAAGGAAGAUAAUUCAUGUGCAGACCUGUGAGUCUGCAGUCUAUUUGCAGAAAUUUAGCACAAGAGUUUACAGAGAAUUUGCCACUUUUCUAGCACUUAUUGUUAUUGUUAUUAUUAUAACUUGUCCUAACAAUUUGACAAUUUAAACUCUUCUAUUAUUCACAUUAUCAAUGAUAUAUCUUAAAGAAAGUCUAGACAUGUCUACACAAUACAGCAUAGAAUGCUUAACGCUAAAAGCGAUAUUUUCAGCUAAAUCUAACUAGAAAUGACACUCAAGGAAAAUGCGCAGUAGGUUCCGAAACGGUGCCGUAAAUUCUUCCAUAAAACUCCACACUAGGUAACACUCGCUCUCAGCUCACCAGCUUGAAGCUUACUGCUGAUUGGCUGACGCCAAAGUCACGUUGUAUUCCUGAACAUCACUUGGAAAGUCGACUUGCCCUCUGUCUAUGGCGUUUUAAACGUAUGCAGGCAUGUAAUCGUGGUGUAAUUCUACAUGCUUACUUCCGGUCAUAUAUCCACGAACGUUAUUUACAUACAUACAAAUGUUUGUUGUGAGCACCGACAAACCCUCUUGCAUGUGCUUUUCUACAUUGAUUCGUACUAUUAAUAGCCAUAAGACUCUCAUACAUUUCGAUGAAAAUAAAUAUCCAUGGACUUUGAAUACCGCCGGACAAACGCGUUGUGUUUCUGUAACAUUCAUGUUAAAUACCAGACAGCAUGUAUUGCUGUGAAACAAUCACCUCUCCUCUACGGGGUCCAACAACCUGUUUGUUUUGAUCACAAAGUCAUGUGUUCAGUAAGACCAAUGGAAAGUCAUGUUACAUUUUCAUCCAAUCAGCAUGGCUCUCCCUUACCGCUUGGGCUCAGAUAAAGCACCAAGUGGCCCCCAUGGCGGUGGGCGUGGCGCUGGCUCUCCUAUAAAGUCCUGCGCGCACAGUCCGCUGCAUCAAUACCACCCCGAGUCGAGCAGAUUCUGAGCGUUUCGUUGUAAAGAGCCUUUGGGAAAACCUAAACCACCGCCAUGUCUGACGCUUAUUUCGACGAGUACGACCACUACAACUUCGACGAUAAGCUGGUCCAUUCAAGAGGAAGCGGCAAGAAUCGGUCCAAGGUAGAGGCCGAGCAGAACAAACAGACCGAUAACUGCGGUCACACUAGAAAGAUCGUCAAUAAUAUGAGAAACAAUGAAGCUAACAAUAGAGUGACGCAAGCAACGGCGAUAAAGCAUUAACUGAAAUUAACCAAUAUUUACGAAUCGUUGACGUCGAACCAAAGCAUAGUAGAGAAGACCAACGGACUUGAAUCGCCUUUAGGAUGUGUGGGACCAGAGUUGCUGCAAUGUCUGCAAGGCAAGGUUGACAAGGCAAUGGACUCCAGCCCAACUGGAAGCCGACGAGCAAACAUGUUCCAUGGGUGUACUUCACACGACUGCGAAGUUGACAAAGCUUCGCAAAACAUCCAUUGUUCAUCGCAUGUCACCAUCAAGCGACAGAUGCAGUGUCCCUUUGUUACAAUGUUAAAUCGGCAAGGAUUGAGCUUCCCAAUACAGGAUGCAUAUGCUGUGUGCGGGGCCCAGUCUUCCCGUGGGACAUUAUGCUUCGUGCGGGGACCUUGUCGGGAAUGACCUUUUCUCAUUUCAUUAUUAUUAUUUAUCUUUGCCUGGGGUUAGCUUUCACAGGAGUUUACCAUUUCUUAUAUUCAUUUCGUAUUUUCUAUUUAUAGUAGUCAGUUGCGGGACUUUCGAGUCUAGCAUGUUGUUCUUCUCAAGUGGUACAAAUAUACUAAGGCAUAUCUGGUAACCUUUAAUAAGUGCCCAUGUUGUGAUAAUAAAAGAUAAUUUUUUAU
Penaeus monodon (black tiger shrimp) is the source of this 2344-nucleotide long non-coding RNA. RefSeq lists it as uncharacterized. The transcript has 2 exons. The record is from RefSeq and is a predicted model, not a curated record. NCBI's taxonomy places the organism in Eukaryota, Metazoa, Arthropoda, Malacostraca, Decapoda, Penaeidae.